Molecule: ribosomal RNA, 484 nt
Filed under: uncultured bacterium
Lineage: Bacteria
Description: partial 16S ribosomal RNA
Rfam family: Bacterial small subunit ribosomal RNA
Source: RNAcentral
GACGAACGCUGGCGGCGUGCUUAACACAUGCAAGUCGAACGAUGAAGCUGGAGCUUGCUCCGGUGGAUUAGUGGCGAACGGGUGAGUAACACGUGAGCAAUCUGCCCUUGACUCUGGGAUAACUGCGGGAAACUGUAGCUAAUACCGGAUACUUUCACUGGAAGGCAUCUUCUGGUGAAGAAAGAAUUUCGGUCAAGGAUGAGCUCGCGGCCUAUCAGCUUGUUGGUGAGGUAACGGCGCACCAAGGCGACGACGGGUAGCCGGCCUGAGAGGGUGACCGGCCACACUGGGACUGAGACACGGCCCAGACUCCUACGGGAGGCAGCAGUGGGGAAUAUUGCGCAAUGGGCGGAAGCCUGAUGCAGCAACGCCGCGUGAGGGAUGACGGCCUUCGGGUUGUAAACCUCUUUUAGCAGGGAAGAAGCGGAAGUGACGGUACCUGCAGAAAAAGCACCGGCUAACUACGUGCCAGCAGCCGCGGUAA